CUGUGCUGAGGUAGUAAGUUGUGUUGUUGUGGGGGUGGGAUACUACAGCCCCUCAACUGGAGAUACAACGAUACAACUUACUGCCUUCCACAA
Tetraodon nigroviridis (spotted green pufferfish) is the source of this 93-nucleotide non-coding RNA. The record is from Rfam. Lineage: Eukaryota; Metazoa; Chordata; Actinopteri; Tetraodontiformes; Tetraodontidae.